RNAcentral lists this ribosomal RNA (460 nucleotides) under uncultured bacterium. Its description in RNAcentral is "partial 16S ribosomal RNA". It matches the Rfam family "Bacterial small subunit ribosomal RNA", at positions 338 to 795 of the family's 1533-position model. The record is from RNAcentral.
CCUACGGGAGGCAGCAGUGAGGAAUAUUGGUCAAUGGGCGUACGCCUGAACCAGCCAAGCCGCGUGAGGGAAGACUGCUCUACGGGUUGUAAACUUCUUUUGUCAGGGAGUAAACUGCCUUACGCUUAGCGUUAUCCAGAUUCCCUGCAGAUAAUGCUCGGCUCACUCCUUCGCAGGCAGCCGCGUUAUUCGGGAGGUCGUGAGCGUAUCCCGAUUUUAUGGGGUUAAAGGGGUGCGUAGUUGGGAUGCCAAGUCGGCGGUAAAUUCCCAGGGCUAACCCUCGCGCCGCCGUUGAAACUGGCGUACUAGAGUGGGGAGGAAGUAGGCGGAAUGCGUGGUGUAGCGGUGAAAUGCAUAGAUAUUACGCAGAACACCGAUUGCGAAGGCAGCAUGCCGGGGCGGAACUGACGCUGAAGCACGAAAGCGUGGGGAUCGAACAGGAUUAGAUACCCGUGUAGUC